Long non-coding RNA from Drosophila obscura, 354 nucleotides. RefSeq lists it as uncharacterized. The transcript has 3 exons. The record is from RefSeq and is a predicted model, not a curated record. NCBI's taxonomy places the organism in Eukaryota, Metazoa, Arthropoda, Insecta, Diptera, Drosophilidae.
CGCAAACAUACACACACACACACACACACACUUACAUACAUAGUUAUACGAAAAUGGUGCAAAGUUUGUUUCGGUUUGAACUCGGAAAUACCAACGAAAUGGACUAAAAUAAGAAUGCCAUAUAAAAGUGGCGAAGGGAACGCAAAAUAACACAAAAGGAACGAAUUAAACAGGAGAGUAACAGUAACCAGAGAGAGAAACAGAGAGCUCAUUAGGGACCAAAAGGACGUUGAUUCGCUGCUCUAAUAUCUCAUCAGAACUCAGCGAACAGAAGCCAUUAUCGAAGCACGAGCCACAGAACCCAUUCGACGAUUAAUUGCGAUUAAAAUGUAUUGUAAACAACAAGAGCUGAUG